AUUGAACGCUGGCGGCAGGCCUAACACAUGCAAGUCGAACGAGUGGCGGACGGGUGAGUCAUGCUUGGGAAUCUAGCUUAUGCAGGGGGAUAACUACGGGAAACUGUAGCUAAUACCGCGUACCACAGGAUGAGCCCAAGUGGGAGUAGGUAGUUGGUGAGGUAAAGGCUCACCAAGCCGACCAUCUCUAGCUGGUCUGAGAGGAUGACCAGCCACACUGGGACUGAGACACGGCCCAGACUCCUACGGGAGGCAGCAGUGGGGAAUAUUGCGCAAGGGGGGCGAACUUACGCAGCCAUGCCGUGUGAAGGAAGAAGGCCUUCGGGUUGUAAAGUUCUUCCGGUAGCGAGGCGUUAACUACAGAAGAAGCACCGGCUAACUCCGUGCCAGCAGCCGCGGUAAUAC
Molecule: ribosomal RNA, 405 nt
Filed under: uncultured bacterium
Lineage: Bacteria
Description: partial 16S ribosomal RNA
Rfam family: Bacterial small subunit ribosomal RNA
Source: RNAcentral